AGUGAACGCUGGCGGCGUGCCUAAUACAUGCAAGUCGAACGGAAUUUAAAAGAGCUUGCUCUUUUAAAUUUAGUGGCGCACGGGUGAGUAAUAUAUAGCUAAUCUGCCCCUUGCUGGAGGACAACAGUUAGAAAUGACUGCUAAUACUCCAUACUCCUUUUUACCAUAAGAUAAAUCGGGAAAGAAUUUCGGCAAGGGAUGAGACUAUAUCGUAUCAGCUAGUCGGUGGGGUAACGGCCUACCGAGGCUAUGACGCGUAACUGGUCUGAGAGGAUGAUCAGUCACAUUGGAACUGAGACACGGUCCAAACUCCUACGGGAGGCAGCAGUAGGGAAUAUUGCGCAAUGGGGGAAACCCUGACGCAGCAACGCCGCGUGGAGGAUGACACUUUUCGGAGCGUAAACUCCUUUUGUUAGGGAAGAAUAAGACGGUACCUAAC
RNAcentral lists this ribosomal RNA (439 nucleotides) under Campylobacter gracilis. RNAcentral's name for it is "bacterial SSU rRNA". It matches the Rfam family "Bacterial small subunit ribosomal RNA", at positions 29 to 483 of the family's 1533-position model. The record is from RNAcentral. Lineage: Bacteria; Pseudomonadati; Campylobacterota; Epsilonproteobacteria; Campylobacterales; Campylobacteraceae.